RNAcentral lists this ribosomal RNA (301 nucleotides) under uncultured bacterium. RNAcentral's name for it is "partial 16S ribosomal RNA". It matches the Rfam family "Bacterial small subunit ribosomal RNA", at positions 509 to 807 of the family's 1533-position model. The record is from RNAcentral.
CGGCAGCCGCGGUAAUACAGAGGGUGCAAGCGUUAAUCGGAAUUACUGGGCGUAAAGCGCGCGUAGGUGGUUUGUUAAGUUGGAUGUGAAAGCCCCGGGCUCAACCUGGGAACUGCAUCCAAAACUGGCAAGCUAGAGUACGGUAGAGGGUGGUGGAAUUUCCUGUGUAGCGGUGAAAUGCGUAGAUAUAGGAAGGAACACCAGUGGCGAAGGCGACCACCUGGACUGAUACUGACACUGAGGUGCGAAAGCGUGGGGAGCAAACAGGAUUAGAUACCCCUGUAGUCCCUGUCUCUUAUAC